This 1616-nucleotide long non-coding RNA is filed under the name Sus scrofa (pig). RNAcentral's name for it is "lncRNA (ENSSSCG00050028114.1)". Lineage: Eukaryota; Metazoa; Chordata; Mammalia; Artiodactyla; Suidae. The record is from RNAcentral.
GGGCCAGGAGGCGCUGAGAUGGCGUCCUCUGCCGCAGCGGCUGCCCCGGAGCUUUCGCCCGGAGCCCGGCCGCUCUGCGCCCUCCUCCUGCACCCGGACCAGGAGCAGCCCCUACGCGGCACCAAGGAAGAGCUCCCUCCGGGAAACAGGAUCCGGGAACACGUGCAGCCUCCUGAGACCUUGGGAUUUAUCGCUCCUCCCCCAACUGCGGCAGAAAAUAUGAGAAAAAUGAGGCAAAGAAAGGAGACUUGCCACAGGACACAUAGCUACAAAGUAGCAGAGCUGGGAUACUGCCUCUUAUUUACUUCUUAUGACACCUCUGUGAGAGAAGUGACAUCACCUUCCUCUUAUGGAUGAGAGCUUGGAAGCCCAAAAGGGGUCCAGUAACCUGCUUAUAGCAUAUGGUGGCAAAAGGGGAGUUAGGUUUGAAGCAUCCACAUUUGCUGUCAUGAAGGCCUUUGCACAUCCCACCAGGCCAGUGGUCCUCAAACGUUAGUUCACAGCAGAAUUACUGCAGGACUUGGUAAAGCACCUCUGGAGUUUCUGGUUCAGUAGCUCUGAGGUGGUUGCCAAGAAUUUGCAUUUUUCUCUAACAAGUUCCAGGAGACACUGUUGCUGCUGAUCUGGAGACCACACUUGGAGAACUACUGCUUUACAAUCAGGCACCUGUAUGCCAAACAGAGGGCAGGGGAAGAGACGGGACCUAAAGGUUAUAGGUCCCACCUCAGCAAAGAGCUACCUACUUCACAGAGCCUAGCAAAGAUCCUUUGCAUUUAUAUGCUCAUUUCAUAGUUAGGACCUCAUUUGAUCUCUCCGAAAGCCCUAGGCAGUGAUCAUUACCUGCAUUCCAUGUGAUCUGUUUGUAGAGACAUGGCUAGAGCAAUGGCAGUGAGAGAGUAAAGCACAGAUCAUCUGACAAGUGUUCUAUCCUUUUCUCCAAGUAUCUGGUCCUGGAAAGCACUAAGCUGAUGGAAACUGAGUCCAGUUCCAAUCUGUGUCUCCCCAGGGAAUAACUGCAAUUCAAGAAAGGGCACUUGGGCCCACCAGGGUUUGGAGAAGGCCAUUACUGGUCAGAAGAGCACAGGACCAGUUUUUUACCAUCAUUUCAAGGAUUAGGAAUGUUGACUGCUCACAAAAGGUUCCACCAACUAUUCGCCCCCUUCUCUAUAACCUAGAAGCUUUACAAUUUGACUAAAAUGUAGUUCUCUGUGAAAGAGGGAAGCAGUUGGGGGGUAAAUUUCUACUGGGCACAGCUUGCUCAUUUAGGACAGCUUGCAUGGCUAGGUAAAUUUUUUUAAGUUCUUUGGACAUAUAAGCCAAAAAAUCAUUAGUACCCAGAAGAUUUCAAGAAUUCCUGGAGUUCCCUUCGUGGCUCAGCGGUUAACGAACCCGACUAGGAUCCACAAAGAUGCGGGUUUGACCCCUGGCCUCAAUCAAUGGGUUAAGGAUCUGGCGUUGCCAUGAGCUGUGGUGUAGGUCGCAGAUGCGGCUCGGAUCCCGAGUGGCUCUGGCUGUGGCUGUGGUGUAGGCCAGUGGCUACAGCUCCGAUUGGACCCCUAGCCUGGGAACCUCCAUAUGCCGCGGGUGCGGCCCUAAAAAGACCAAAAAAAAAAAAA